Molecule: ribosomal RNA, 480 nt
Filed under: uncultured Asticcacaulis sp.
Lineage: Bacteria; Pseudomonadati; Pseudomonadota; Alphaproteobacteria; Caulobacterales; Caulobacteraceae
Description: bacterial SSU rRNA
Rfam family: Bacterial small subunit ribosomal RNA
Source: RNAcentral
AGUAUACAUAAGAGUUUGAUCAUGGCUCAGAGCGAACGCUGGCGGCAGGCCUAACACAUGCAAGUCGAACGCACCUUCGGGUGAGUGGCGGACGGGUGAGUAACACGUGGGAACGUACCUUUUGGUUCGGAAUAACGCAGGGGAAAACUUGUGCUAAUACCGAAUGUGCCCUUCGGGGGAAAGAUUUAUCGCCAUUAGAGCGGCCCGCGUUAGAUUAGCUAGUUGGUGAGGUAAAGGCUCACCAAGGCUACGAUCUAUAGCUGGUCUGAGAGGAUGAUCAGCCACAUUGGGACUGAGACACGGCCCAAACUCCUACGGGGAGGCAGCAGUGGGGAAUCUUGCGCAAUGGGCGAAAGCCUGACGCAGCCAUGCCGCGUGAAUGAUGAAGGUCUUAGGAUUGUAAAUUCUUUCAGUAGGGACGAUAAUGACGGUACCUACAGAAGAAGCCCCGGCUAACUUCGUGCCAGCAGCCGCGGUAAU